RNAcentral lists this ribosomal RNA (460 nucleotides) under uncultured bacterium. RNAcentral's name for it is "partial 16S ribosomal RNA". It matches the Rfam family "Bacterial small subunit ribosomal RNA", at positions 338 to 795 of the family's 1533-position model. The record is from RNAcentral.
CCUACGGGGGGCAGCAGUGAGGAAUAUUGGUCAAUGGACGCAAGUCUGAACCAGCCAUGCCGCGUGCAGGAUGACGGCUCUAUGAGUUGUAAACUGCUUUUGUACGAGGGUAAACCCCGUUACGUGUAGCUGGUUGAAAGUAUCGUACGAAUAAGGAUCGGCUAACUCCGUGCCAGCAGCCGCGGUAAUACGGAGGAUCCGAGCGUUAUCCGGAUUUAUUGGGUUUAAAGGGUGCGUAGGCGGUUUGAUAAGUUAGAGGUGAAAUGUCGGGGCUCAACCCCGGAACUGCCUCGCAUACUGUGGGGCUAGAGAAUAGUGGAGGUAGGCGGAAUGUAUGGUGUAGCGGUGAAAUGCUUAGAGAUCACGCAGAACACCGAUUGCGAAGGCAGCUUACCAAACUGUAUCUGACGUUGAGGCACGAAAGCGUGGGUAGCAAACAGGAUUAGAUACCCGUGUAGUC